UCUAAAAGUUGUCUUUAUAAAUAUUGUAGAUGUCCAACGUCAACCUCAACUUCAACGCAUUCCUAGAGAAAAAACAAGCUGAAAGAUGAUGGUAGCAACUAUGCGGACUGGGUUCGCAACCUGAAGCUCAUCCUUGAAGCAGCUAAAAAGGCUUAUGUCCUUAAUGCGCCGCUAGGUGACCCUCCCGCUCCCGCAGCAGCGCAGGAC
Molecule: long non-coding RNA, 207 nt
Filed under: Hordeum vulgare
Lineage: Eukaryota; Viridiplantae; Streptophyta; Magnoliopsida; Poales; Poaceae
Description: long non-coding RNA (HVUL_LNC011197)
Source: RNAcentral